RNAcentral lists this ribosomal RNA (137 nucleotides) under uncultured eukaryote. Its description in RNAcentral is "partial 18S ribosomal RNA". It matches the Rfam family "Eukaryotic small subunit ribosomal RNA", at positions 1299 to 1458 of the family's 1831-position model. The record is from RNAcentral.
UCGUGGAGUGAUUUGUCUGCUUAAUUGCGAUAACGAACGAGACCUUAACCUGCUAAAUAGCCCGGUCGGCUUCGGCUGUCUGCUGGCUUCUUAGAGGGACUAUCGGCUCAAGCCGAUGGAAGUUUGAGGCAAUAACA